RNAcentral lists this ribosomal RNA (253 nucleotides) under uncultured bacterium. Its description in RNAcentral is "partial 16S ribosomal RNA". It matches the Rfam family "Bacterial small subunit ribosomal RNA", at positions 524 to 776 of the family's 1533-position model. The record is from RNAcentral.
UACGUAGGGUGCGAGCGUUGUCCGGAAUUAUUGGGCGUAAAGGGCUCGUAGGCGGUUUGUCGCGUCGGGAGUGAAAACUCAGGGCUUAACCCUGAGCCUGCUUCCGAUACGGGCAGACUAGAGGUAUGCAGGGGAGAACGGAAUUCCUGGUGUAGCGGUGAAAUGCGCAGAUAUCAGGAGGAACACCGGUGGCGAAGGCGGGUCUCUGGGCAAUUCCUGACGCUGAGGCGCGAAAGCGUGGGGAGCAAACGGG